Molecule: ribosomal RNA, 497 nt
Filed under: uncultured bacterium
Lineage: Bacteria
Description: partial 16S ribosomal RNA
Rfam family: Bacterial small subunit ribosomal RNA
Source: RNAcentral
GAUGAACGCUGGCGGCGUGCCUAAUACAUGCAAGUCGAGCGAAAGGACGGGAAGAUUUCUUCCCUGCUGUUAGCGGGGGGCGGGCGAGUAACGAGUGGAUCAGCUACUUCUAAUUCUGGGAUAACUACGGGAAAACGGUGCUACUAACAGCUCAUACUUUGUACGGCUUGGAUCAAAAGUGAUUGACGGUUUUGCCGUCACUAUUAGCUGGGUCCGCGCUGCAUUAGCUAGUUGGUAAGGUAACGGCUCACCAAGGCGACGAUGCGUAGCUGACCUGAGAGGAUGAUCGGCCACACUGGAACUGAGACACGGUCCAGACUCCUACGGGAGGCAGCAGUGGGGAAUCUUCCGCAAUGGGCGAAAGCCUGACGGAGCAACGCCGCGUGAGUGAUGAAGGUCUUCGGAUCGUAAAGCCCUUUUAUUGGGAAAGAACAGAUGUAGGUUAAACUGCGGAUGUCUUGACGGUACCCAAACAGAAAGCCACGGCUAACUUCGUG